UAGGGAAUCUUCCACAAUGGACGCAAGUCUGAUGGAGCAACGCCGCGUGAGUGAAGAAGGUUUUCGGACCGUAAAGCUCUGUUGUUGGUGAAGAAGGAUAGAGGUAGUAACUGGCCUUUAUUUGACGGUAAUCAACCAGAAAGUCACGGCUAACUACGUGCCAGCAGCCGCGGUAAUACGUAGGUGGCAAGCGUUGUCCGGAUUUAUUGGGCGUAAAGCGAGCGCAGGCGGAAGAAUAAGUCUGAUGUGAAAGCCCUCGGCUUAACCGAGGAAUUGCAUCGGAAACUGUUUUUCUUGAGUGCAGAAGAGGAGAGUAGAACUCCAUGUGUAGCGGUGGAAUGCGUAGAUAUAUGGAAGAAUACCAGUGGCGAAGGCGGCUCUCUGGUCUGCAACUGACGCUGAGGCUCGAAAGCAUGGGUAGCGAACAGGAUUAGAUACCCUGGUAGUCCAUGCCGUAAACGAUGAGUGCUAGGUGUUGGAUCCUUUUCCGGGAUUCAGU
Molecule: ribosomal RNA, 499 nt
Filed under: uncultured bacterium
Lineage: Bacteria
Description: partial 16S ribosomal RNA
Rfam family: Bacterial small subunit ribosomal RNA
Source: RNAcentral